Molecule: ribosomal RNA, 305 nt
Filed under: uncultured bacterium
Lineage: Bacteria
Description: partial 16S ribosomal RNA
Rfam family: Bacterial small subunit ribosomal RNA
Source: RNAcentral
ACAGCAGCAGCCGCGGUAAUACAGAGGGUGCAAGCGUUAAUCGGAAUUACUGGGCGUAAAGCGCGCGUAGGUGGUUUGUUAAGUUGGAUGUGAAAUCCCCGGGCUCAACCUGGGAACUGCAUCCAAAACUGGCAAGCUAGAGUAUGGUAGAGGGUGGUGGAAUUUCCUGUGUAGCGGUGAAAUGCGUAGAUAUAGGAAGGAACACCAGUGGCGAAGGCGACCACCUGGACUGAUACUGACACUGAGGUGCGAAAGCGUGGGGAGCAAACAGGAUUAGAUACCCGGGUAGUCCCUGUCUCUUAUAA